GGGCGUAAGAGCUCGUAGGCGGCCUGUCGCGUCGGAUGUGAAAGCCCGGGGCUUAACCCCGGGUCUGCAUUCGAUACGGGCAGGCUAGAGUUCGGUAGGGGAGAUCGGAAUUCCUGGUGUAGCGGUGAAAUGCGCAGAUAUCAGGAGGAACACCGGUGGCGAAGGCGGAUCUCUGGGCCGAUACUGACGCUGAGGAGCGAAAGCGUGGGGAGCGAACAGGAUUAGAUACCCUGGUAGUCCACGCCGUAAACGUUGGGAACUAGGUGUGGGCGACAUUCCACGUCGUCCGUGCCGCAGCUAACGCAUUAAGUUCCCCGCCUGGGGAGUACGGCCGCAAGGCUAAAACUCAAAGGAAUUGACGGGGGCCCGCACAAGCGGCGGAGCAUGUGGCUUAAUUCGACGCAACGCGAAGAACCUUACCAAGGCUUGACAUACACCGGUAACUGGCAGAGAUGUCAGCCCCCUUGUGGUCGGUGUACAGGUGGUGCAUGGUUGUCGUCAGCUCGUGUCGUGAGAUGUUGGGUUAAGUCCCGCAACGAGCGCAACCCUUGUUCUGUGUUGCCAGCGAGUUAUGUCGGGGACUCACAGGAGACUGCCGGGGUCAACUCGGAGGAAGGUGGGGACGACGUCAAAUCAUCAUGCCCCUUAUGUCUUGGGCUGCACACGUGCUACAAUGGCCGGUACAAUGGGCUGCGAUACCGUGAGGUGGAGCGAAUCCCAAAAAGCCGGUCUCAGUUCGGGAUUGGGGUCUGCAACUCGACCCCAUGAAGUCGGAGUCGCUAGUAAUCGCAGAUCAGCAUGCUGCGGUGAUACGUUCCCGGGCUUGUACACACCGCCCGUC
This 841-nucleotide ribosomal RNA is filed under the name uncultured bacterium. Its description in RNAcentral is "bacterial SSU rRNA". It matches the Rfam family "Bacterial small subunit ribosomal RNA", at positions 556 to 1398 of the family's 1533-position model. The record is from RNAcentral.